GGAGGGGUGGCAGAGAGGCUGAUUGCACCCCGUUGCUAGCGGGGCAGACCUCGCAAGGGGUCUCGGGGGUUCAAAUCCCUCCCCCUCCGCCA
Molecule: transfer RNA, 92 nt
Filed under: uncultured bacterium
Lineage: Bacteria
Description: tRNA-Ser
Rfam family: tRNA
About the family: Transfer RNA (tRNA) molecules are approximately 80 nucleotides in length. Their secondary structure includes four short double-helical elements and three loops (D, anti-codon, and T loops).
Source: RNAcentral